Long non-coding RNA from Triticum urartu, 1790 nucleotides. RefSeq lists it as uncharacterized. The record is from RefSeq and is a predicted model, not a curated record. NCBI's taxonomy places the organism in Eukaryota, Viridiplantae, Streptophyta, Magnoliopsida, Poales, Poaceae.
GUUCCCCUGGACCCCUCUCCCCCUCCGUCCGUUUCCUCACCGACGCCCACCGACGCUCGCCGUCGAGCGCCCACGGGCACACUGUGGCCGACCGAGCUUUAAUGGCGCUCGGCUUCUUCCUCUGCUUCUCCUUUGGCCUCCUCCUCCCCGUGAGCUCCCCUCUGUCCCUCCCUCGUCGCCUGCCUCCGAGCCAUGCACACGCACACGCGUCCGCGGCGCCGGCCACCCGUCCGCGGCGACGACAGCUCGGCACCUCACCCCGCGCCUACAAAGACCACCCCGAGCCCUCCCGAGCACCUCAUCAGCCUCGCCUCACACCCAGCUCCCUCACCGUCCACUCACCCGAGCUCCGGAGCCACCACACCUCGCCCAUGCCCGCCGUGUCCACCCUCGGCCUCCUCCUAAAUUCGCGGCCACAAGAGCCCUACUGUUCCCCUAGCCACCACCAUAGGCUUCCCCGGAGUCCGGCGAACCUCCCUGCCCUCUCAGCCCGUCGCCGGAGCAUCUGUUGUCGUCGUCCCCAAGCUUAGUCGCCGCCGCCGUGCUCUCUGUGGCUGCGAGCCGCCAUGACCCCGCUCUUCCUCAGUGCCCCCAACCGGUUUAGGCGAGCGCGGCGCUUCCCCCUGGUACCGCCGGCAGCAUCUCCCUCGCCGGGGACCACUGGAGUCGCCGGAGCCAGACGCCGGCCGAGCCCAGCCCCACCUCUCCUCUGUUCUUCGUCGGGCGCAAGGAAGAAGCCAGACGAGAAGAGAGAGAGAAGGAGAUGGAUAAGGCGGGCCCCUCUCGUCAGCCGCACAGCUCCAUGGGCCACCACUGCCACGCUGGAUAAGUGGAAACGUACUUCGUGGGAGUACGUAUUCCUCUUCAGAAAGCUUAUUCCUCUUCUGCUCCCGCUAUAGGUCCCUGGCAGAAAACACUUCAUAACUUUUUGCUCGGAACUCCGAUUGAGCCCCUUUCGAGAGAGAAGUGUUUCCGGCGAAUCUUUCUGCGAUCUUUCCGCACAACUUCCCGGUGUUUUCUUCAUCCCCAGGCAAGCCAAAAUACCCACUUGCAUGAUAUUAAUGUAGUAGCCAUGGUUUUCAACUUGAAUAUUUAAUAAAUGUUUGCUUGUUUAAAAUAUGGUUAUCGUUGUUUCGGUAAUGCUUCUGGGUUAGUGCUUACUUUCUUGCUAUGUUGUUAUGCACCUGGUUGUCAUGCCCUGCUAGUUGCUAGUAUUUCUUUCAUAUGCUUAUGAUUGCUAGUAGUACAUGUUGAUGUUGGUGAUGGCCUUCGGUGCAUGACUAACGUCUGUUCCGAGCGCCGUCGUUAUGCAUGUCCCUUUGCAUCCAGUUGGUUAAAUGAUUGCAUGGUAGCAUUGUUGAUAUGUCUUGCAUGAUAUUUAUUGUUGAUGCUAGUGGUCAUUCUAGGUUUCUAUGAGUAGUGUUGUACUUGUGAUAUUCAUGCUCGUCAUUAUACUAUGCUCAGUUGGAUAUGAUUCAUUGUGGAUAUGGUGGAUAGUUAUGUUGCACCCCGUGCUUAUGUUGAUAACAUGUUCAUGCAUUGUAAUUGCAUCAUGUUAUGUUAUCAUGGCUCAGCAUAUUGCAUUCAAGUUUAACCGGAUUAAAUUGAACUUGAACAACUGCUGGCUGAGUCAUGGUGCCACCAUAUCGAGCUAACCAGUGCUACCACGCUUACCUUUAUGGGAAGGUCCUAACUGGGUCUAUUGUCGUGCCUCUCGCCGGUGCCUCCAACGAGGGAAGGUUAUGGGCGUGCGUACCCUGGCCCGGUAAGCAGACAUAACCUUGUGUGCC